GACGAACGCUGGCGGCGUGCUUAACACAUGCAAGUCGAACGGAAAGGCCCUGCUUUUGUGGGGUUCUCGAGUGGCGAACGGGUGAGUAACACGUGAGUAACCUGCCCUUGACUUUGGGAUAACUUCAGGAAACUGGGGCUAAUACCGGAUAGGAGCUCCUGCUGCAUGGUGGGGGUUGGAAAGUUUCGGCGGUUGGGGAUGGACUCGCGGCUUAUCAGCUUGUUGGUGGGGUAGUGGCUUACCAAGGCUUUGACGGGUAGCCGGCCUGAGAGGGUGACCGGCCACAUUGGGCCUGAGAUACGGCCCAGACUCCUACGGGAGGCAGCAGUGGGGAAUAUUGCACAAUGGGCGGAAGCCUGAUGCAGCAACGCCGCGUGCGGGAUGACGGCCUUCGGGUUGUAAACCGCUUUCGCCUGUGACGAAGCGUGAGUGACGGUAAUGGGUAAAGAAGCACCGGCUAACUACGUG
Molecule: ribosomal RNA, 468 nt
Filed under: uncultured bacterium
Lineage: Bacteria
Description: partial 16S ribosomal RNA
Rfam family: Bacterial small subunit ribosomal RNA
Source: RNAcentral